RNAcentral lists this ribosomal RNA (195 nucleotides) under Triticum aestivum (bread wheat). Its description in RNAcentral is "partial small subunit ribosomal RNA". The record is from RNAcentral. Lineage: Eukaryota; Viridiplantae; Streptophyta; Magnoliopsida; Poales; Poaceae.
AUGCCCAAAUGUGGCGUCGAGGCCUUCCGCGUCCGCACCCGAGCUGCGUCACUGCCAAGCUGCUACAAGCAUACAAGGCCUUCCGUGUUCAAGCUGAAAAGACAAGAAGAUCUCAUUAUUAACAUGGAUAAAAAAAGGUGGAACAUCUUCUUCUGUAGAAGUACACAAUGGUUGGCUGAAGAUUUGGAGUGCUAA